This is a long non-coding RNA of Suncus etruscus (white-toothed pygmy shrew), 248 nucleotides long. RefSeq lists it as uncharacterized. The record is from RefSeq and is a predicted model, not a curated record. Lineage: Eukaryota; Metazoa; Chordata; Mammalia; Eulipotyphla; Soricidae. The transcript has 3 exons.
GCGGCGGGGCGAUGUGUGAUUGCCAUGGCGAGGAGGCUCUGUCCGGGGGCCUGGCUCCGCAAGCCCUACUCCCUGCAGGCAACAGGGAUUCGUGCACCAGGGAGGCCAGAUGCCCGAGCUGAAGGAAGACGGUCGGUCACCAGGGGGACCCAGUAGAUCCCGGGAGGAGGAGCAGAGAGCAAAUCCAUCACUCCCACCUCUUGCUCCCGCGUGCAUCCCGUAGAGGAGACAUGGCCACACACACAUCG